RNAcentral lists this unclassified non-coding RNA (433 nucleotides) under uncultured Russula. Its description in RNAcentral is "sequence contains ITS2". The stretch from base 1 to 154 matches the Rfam family "5.8S ribosomal RNA". The record is from RNAcentral. Lineage: Eukaryota; Fungi; Basidiomycota; Agaricomycetes; Russulales; Russulaceae.
AACUUUCGGCAACGGAUCUCUUGGCUCUCGCAUCGAUAAAGAACGCAGCGAAAUGCGAUACGUAAUGUGAAUUGCAGAAUUCAGUGAAUCAUCGAAUCUUUGAACGCACCUUGCGCCCUUUGGUAUUCCGAGGGGCACACCCGUUUGAGUGUCGUGACAUUCUCAAAACCUUCUCGGUUUCUCGACCGGGAAGGCUUUGGACUUUGGAGGCUUUUGCUGGCAUUCCUUUGUUGGAGCCCAGCUCCUCUGAAAUGAAUUAGUGGGGUCUGCUUUGCCGAUCCUUGACGUGAUAAGAUGUUUUCUACGUCUUGGGUUUUAGCACUCCUGCUUCUAACCGUCUCACAGUAGACAAAUGGUCCACUCGACCCACAAACCUUGACCUCAAAUCGGGUGAGACUACCCGCUGAACUUAAGCAUAUCAAUAAGCGGAGGC